Long non-coding RNA from Empidonax traillii (willow flycatcher), 1766 nucleotides. RefSeq lists it as uncharacterized. The transcript is spliced from 2 exons. Lineage: Eukaryota; Metazoa; Chordata; Aves; Passeriformes; Tyrannidae. The record is from RefSeq and is a predicted model, not a curated record.
CCUGUCCCCUGGCAGCUCUGACUGCAUCCUUGGGUGCAUAUUCCAAACGUGGGAAUGUUUUUAUUUUGGGAAUAGUCUUGGAAGGAGGAGACUGAGACCUACGAGAGCACUUCAUUUGGCCCCCUCCCAGCCACCCUGUAUCCUGUGAUCCAGCCAGGGAAUAACAACCACCUGCACGGAUAGUUCCCACAACAGCAGUGUGCUCUGAGCGUCUCCUUCCCUAAUCAUCCUCAUCACGCGACACAACGCGCGUUCAAAAUUUGGAUCCAAAAUCUGUGGCACAUGUACAGACAAACUCCUGGAUGUACCGGGGGAGUCAUCCCAGCACAAAGUCAGCUUUUGCCAUAGCAGCAAGCUUGGGUGCUGCUGGCGUGGCAUAGCCUCAAAUUCCUGAGGAAAAGACAGGCAUUACCUGCAACAGUUAGUGCAGGGAGAAGCAGGGCAGGUGGCGGACGAGAAGUUUCUCAAAGUCUUUCUCUCAGCACCACCAUUUGCUUUCCUGUGAUUUUGCAUAUGAUAGUUUUGGGCACAAUCCUUGAACAAAACAAGAACAACUCUUUUUUCCAUUUAAAGAAACUCUGGAUAGAAUAGUCCUCCAGCAGGUUGUUGGGGCAGACUUUCAUUCCUGUGCGUAUGAGAAGCGUGUGGGAAUAGAGGUAACCAGCCAGCCUGUAUCCCAGACUGAUGCCUGAAAGUUCCAUUGUUUAUUUUUUCACAUCAAUAACAAUAUUGUAAAAAUAACUUUUCAGCUGAACCUAUUUACACGCUCUCAGAUGGCUCUUGUUCUUUUUGUCCUUUCUUGGCCGUCCUCCACAGCCUUGUAAUGGAAAUCACUGCACCGUCCUCUGCUCAGCCUUUGGAUUUCUAACUCUUUUAAGGGGAGGUGUGUGUGCUCCACAAGUGUGUUUUUCCAGGAUUCUUCCUGGUCACACUGUAAAAUUGAUGCAAAGCACGUCCUACCAUUUUUCUAAGCAGAGGGAGAAAUUGUGUCAUCCCCCACAACAGGCACUUCAUUGCCACUUGACCUGUCUCCAGUCCACUGCUCAGUCCUAUCCAUAGGUAACCCAUCGUUUUAAUGGAAAGUGUUUUGAUUUAGAAGAAGGCAGAUAAUGUCUGUGUUUUUCUUGUGGGUUUUUGCCCUCACUUUAUUUCAAUUUGUACGUCAAUAACGAAGCAACUGAAUAUAAUGUAUAAAAAUCCAUUUGUUUUCUGAAAUUAAGUGAACUUCAUCCAAGCUCAAAAUCCUGACAGUCACUUCUAACAUUUGGAAGAUUUUGCAAAUGCACUCUGAAAAAAAUAUUUUGACAUCUAGGCUGUCAGAUAAUCUGUCAGCAACGGUUAUAUCAUUCAGGGAGAGAACUCUUAGUUUCCAGAGUAAUUUAUUGGGAAAAUAAUGUAUUUACUGCAGUGAAAUAUCCUGCUGGAUGCUAGAAAAGCUACUUAGCAUUUGUGCAGGCAGAGUAGUUGGCUUCAGAACGUGGGUUGUUCUCUUGUGACAAAAACACAGGAAAAGAAAUUCUUGCCAGAAACCAUCAGUGAAGAGCAAGUACCUGCAAAUGGCAGGAUGGCCCCAGACAUGCAGGAAGCGUUAGGAACUCCAUGCAGAGGGAUGAAAUGCCUGGAGAAAAGGGGAGGAGGGCUUAGGGUCACCCUUCUUACAGAAUAGGCUCAUGGGGCACAGUGGAUCAUACACCAAAUGCUUUACUUGGAAUGAUCUUUAAAAGCCAGGGGAGUUCUCAGCACUGCAGUGCUGUGCCCAGAAAAAA